This is a long non-coding RNA of Balaenoptera acutorostrata (minke whale), 1100 nucleotides long. RefSeq lists it as uncharacterized. The transcript has 3 exons. The record is from RefSeq and is a predicted model, not a curated record. Lineage: Eukaryota; Metazoa; Chordata; Mammalia; Artiodactyla; Balaenopteridae.
GGGCCCGGCUCGGCUGGAGGGCGGGUGCGGGUCCCCGCGUGUCACGCUCCAGCUCGAGAGGACAAGGAGGGCAGGAGUGAUCACUGACUCGCUGCCUUGGAUGGCGGAGCUCCCGUGUUGUUCCUUACGUGUGACAGCUAUUUCAUCUCAAGGUGAUCCCAUAAAGUGGAUACUGUCAUUAGCCCUAUUUUACAAUCUGCCCAAGAGGGGGUGAGGCCUGGAAGUGAGGCGGGCAGAGAUGGGACGUACAUCACAAAGUCUGGAGAGGGCGCCUCCAGAUGCUUCUUUGCAGGGCUUGCUGCCUCUUGAACCAUGAACUUUGUCUCAAAAGCCAUCUGGUUUCUCGUCUCGAAAACAUCCCACGACAGCUCUGAGUGCUACAAACCAGGCUGGGUCAUCUGCUGCUGCUGGCUUCCAGAUAUUGCUCCAAACGUUUCUGCAAGGCUGGUGACGUCCCAAGACACUGAGACUUUAGAUGCCCACUGCCCAAUAUUUGGUAGUGCUCACAAAAAAUGUCGAUGGAGAAAAAAGUAUGACUGCAACACGGGGCAGCAAUAGGUAACAGGGAAGACCUGCGCGCACACUAGGUUUACGCCCCGCUUCAUUCGAGGCCCUUGGAGGAAGCUGGAAAAGCAUGUAUGUAGUUCAGUAAUCUCCACCUGGUCUUUCUGUGCAUGAACUCAAGAGCUGGAACUGUAUUACAAAGCAAAGAGCUGGUGCUCGGCAUUCGGCAGGGAGUUCUCAGGGGCCUACGUCCAGGAUUUUAGAUGAUGUUCACCUUUUCAAGAGUAAACUUACCAAGAGUAACUUAAAUCACAGGUUUAGGUAUUCUAACAACAGCUUGUUACAUCCUUGGGCACAGUUACAUGAGGACGCACCUAUAUAUCCUUCAGCAGGUGUGGGGGGAUAGCUCCAACAAACACCUUCAACCUUGACGAGACAAACCUGACCACUGUAGCGUGGCCUCAGGUUCCAAAUGAAUGCCUCAAUGCAGCCAAACUCGCUCAAUGUCCAGGCAAGGCCACAGAUGGUACCUAGUGCUUCUGUACGGCUGAAGAAUAUAGUGUAGAGAUCCUGAUGUUUGUUAAUUGCUGCUUUUC